This 275-nucleotide ribosomal RNA is filed under the name uncultured bacterium. Its description in RNAcentral is "partial 16S ribosomal RNA". It matches the Rfam family "Bacterial small subunit ribosomal RNA", at positions 337 to 609 of the family's 1533-position model. The record is from RNAcentral.
GCCUACGGGGCGCAGCAGUGAGGAAUAUUGGUCAAUGGCCGAGAGGCUGAACCAGCCAAGUCGCGUGAGGGAUGACGGCCCUACGGGUUGUAAACUUCUUUUGUCGGGGAACAAAGGCGGAGACGCGUCUCCGGAUGAGUGUACCCGAAGAAAAAGCAUCGGCUAACUCCGUGCCAGCAGCCGCGGUAAUACGGAGGAUGCGAGCGUUAUCCGGAUUUAUUGGGUUUAAAGGGUGCGCAGGCUGGCGAUCAAGUCAGCGGUAACAUGUCGGGGCU